RNAcentral lists this ribosomal RNA (986 nucleotides) under uncultured bacterium. RNAcentral's name for it is "bacterial SSU rRNA". It matches the Rfam family "Bacterial small subunit ribosomal RNA", at positions 8 to 1029 of the family's 1533-position model. The record is from RNAcentral.
AGAGUUUGAUCAUGGCUCAGAAUCAACGCUGGCGGCGUGCCUAACACAUGCAAGUCGAACGAGAAAGUGGAGCAAUCCAUGAGUAAAGUGGCGACCGGGUGAGUAACACGUGACUAACCUACCUCCGAGUGGGGAAUAACUCCGGGAAACCGGGGCUAAUACCGCAUAACAUCGCAAGAUCAAAGCAGCAAUGCGCUUGGAGAGGGGGUCGCGGCUGAUUAGCUAGUUGGCGGGGUAACGGCCCACCAAGGCGAAGAUCGGUAUCCGGCCUGAGAGGGCGCACGGACACACUGGAACUGAAACACGGUCCAGACUCCUACGGGAGGCAGCAGUGGGGAAUUUUGCGCAAUGGGGGAAACCCUGACGCAGCAACGCCGCGUGGAGGAUGAAGCCCUUUGGGGCGUAAACUCCUUUCGACUCGGACGAUAAUGACGGUACGAGUGGAAGAAGCACCGGCUAACUCUGUGCCAGCAGCCGCGGUAAUACAGAGGGUGCAAGCGUUGUUCGGAAUUAUUGGGCGUAAAGGGCGCGUAGGCGGUGCGGUAAGUCACCUGUGAAAUCUCCUGGCUUAACUGGGAGCCUGCAGGCGAAACUACCGUGCUGGAGUGUGGGAGAGGUGUGUGGAAUUCCCGGUGUAGCGGUGAAAUGCGUAGAUAUCGGGAGGAACACCUGUGGCGAAAGCGGCGCACUGGACCAUAACUGACGCUGAGGCGCGAAAGCUAGGGGAGCAAACAGGAUUAGAUACCCUGGUAGUCCUAGCCCUAAACGAUGAUUGCUUGGUGUAGCAGUACCCAAUCCUGCUGUGCCGCAGCUAACGCGAUAAGCAAUCCGCCUGGGGAGUACGGUCGCAAGGCUGAAACUCAAGGAAUUGACGGGGCCCGCACAGCGGUGGAGCAUGUGGUUCAAUUCGACGCACGCGAAGAACCUUACCUGGGCUCGAAGCGCAGUGGACCGGGGUGGAAACAUCCCUUCCCCUUAAAGGCUGC